Molecule: long non-coding RNA, 1948 nt
Organism: Triticum aestivum (bread wheat)
Lineage: Eukaryota; Viridiplantae; Streptophyta; Magnoliopsida; Poales; Poaceae
Exons: 2
Source: RefSeq, a predicted model, not a curated record
UAUUAAUUUGACGAAAGAGCCGGGGCAUCUUGCACCCAGCUUCCAUGUGCUCGAUGCCAAGUAUUGCUUCUCCAGUGUUAAAUUAACUCAAGUGCUGUCCCUGGUAUCUAUUUUGCUGACAGUUUUCUUCUGGUUAUUCCAGUCAACUUUGGUUAUGCUAUUGGAUGGUUCAUGGGCUCGCGUUGCUGGAUGAAACUCUUGACGAAGACCUCGAGAACGAUAUUGUAGACUUAUUGUCUUGAUGUCGGGUUUGUUGAUCUGUUACGAUAUAAUUGUAUGGAUAUGUUGCUGCAGUUUGUAGUUAAAUUUUGAUAACACUUAUGCUUAAGGAUAUAUAUGUUGAAAACUUUACAAGCAAACUGUUUAAGGCUUUAGCUUAAACUUCCGCUCUUCUUAAAUCUGAUUAUAGAAACUAAGAAAUAAGUUGCUGAGAUAAUAUGCUCUGGUUGCACAACACAGUAAAUCUCAAAUCAGAUUUCAGUUGAACAACAUUGCUUCAUACAAGGAUGACAAGAAAAUAACCUUUAUUUAACUUUGCGCCAUGGUUAGGUUGUCCAUUACAAAUUUUUGCAGCAGUAUGAUUUUUUUAAGAAAAUACAAGUAGUAUUUGUCAUACAUAAUUAAAGCACUGAAGAUACACCUUUGCAGAUACAAUAAUUUCUGAAUAUUACCAUUUUUUUCUCUUAUGGUGGCGUAUAAUUGUUUCAGGACAAACAUGGUGGAUAUGGUGGUGGACCUGGGCAGUUUUUCUCUAACCUCAAACUCUUCUUAAUUCCCCACAUUUAGCUUCGGUAAUACUAGCUUUAGGUUGGUUAAUCUUUUUGCAUUAGUUCUUGAAAUGGAAUUUUAGGCAACCAUGGAAUUUGGAACAGGCCAUGUGAAUGUUGGGCUGUAGAGAUAUUGGAUUUGACAUUGCUUUCAAAUGUUUGCUUCACAAUGAGUGCUCUUAGACCAUUCUAGGCUACUUGACAUGUUCACACGAAUAUACAAAAUAACUUCGACCAACCAAUUUAGCAUUAUAAGAACUUCAGAGAUGUGUUUGGUAUUUGAUUACCUAAUGUGUUUGGAAAAGCUAGCUUUUGUAGUGGUUUUGUUUGCCCAUCUUUUGGAAGGUCAGAGAUAGCUUUUUUUGUUAAUUGAUUUACUGAUUCAGUUUCAUGUUCGGUGAGUGGGGUGGUCGAUCCGCUACUGAUCCUGACGUGCAUAACCAGUCACCUGUUUAUCUCUGGGCCCCUGUAGAGAACGGCGUCGCCGGGGAGGACGGGAGCGGUUCAACCAAUGGCCACCGCAAUGCUCUUCUGCCCGCUGCUUGCCUCGCCACCCGGGCGCAAAAUAGAGCUGACAAGAUGUCUGUAUGUACUGCAGUUCAAUGAGGAAGCGUGUCACUUUUUGUAAAGAAAUACAAGACCAUCUUUCACCCAGGAGAGGUUAACUGAAUUAGGGAGAUGGCGCUGUCCCCAUGGACAAAGUCAGUUGCUCCGAUAUGGAUGAGCAGCAGGUGCUGCUACCGCUGCAGGUGGACAAGGCACGAGGUCUCAUGGCUCCUCCCACUCUUCCCAACAACACUGUUGUGAUGUACUGAAGCCUCCCGUUCCACAUAUUCAGUACUUGCACCUCAACGUCACUUCUGUGAGUGGUGGCCUAGGUUAGGUCGAUCCCUAAUCUCUGUUCCAAUUUAUUCCGGUGUCAUUAUUCUCAGCAUCCUUUUAAUUGCGAUUUAUGCUGCCUUUGUAUUUUUUGGGGCUAGAGAUUGUAGGUUGAUUUAGAUUGCUAACUCGAUUCAGACUGUCAAUACUAUUGUAGAUAUCGAUGUUUCCAGAGCAUCAUUAUCAAUUGGCUGUUAUCUCAUUGUGUUUAUGAGCAGAUACAACAUCUCUUGUGAGACUUAGUCUUACACUUGCUGAUAUAAACUACUUGGCAACAUUUAUAGAAUGUAUGUCUUUCUGUU